AUGUUGGCCCCAAGUGAAGGUCUAUGAUUAGGAUUUGUGUGGUCUUCCGUUGUGAUGACGAACCCGCCUCUGGUCCAAUGUUUUGAAGCAGAAGUAGCCCCUCCCACAUGCUGCUCUGUGAGAGCCGACAUUAAAAGCUGAAGAACAUCUCCGUUUGAGAAGCUUUUCUGGUUUGAUGGAAAGAAAAUGAUGUGCUUGGUUCUGGUGUUGUCUUGGCCAGGUGUCUGCUGGGGCUUGGAAGUGCAUCAGUCUCCUCCUCAGGUCCUCGCAAAAAGUUCUGACAAUGUCCAGAUCUUCUGCAGCCACAAUCGCAGUGACUAUCGAGUGAUGCUCUGGUACCAGGUUCCUCCCUCAGACACGAGCAUGAAACUGGUUGGAAUAUUGUCCUUCAAGGAUGCUAUUCUGGAGAAGCCGUAUAAAAAAGAUUUUAGUAUAUCAGGAGAUCUGAGCGGGAACAGCGCAAAGAAGGCUUCUCUGACUAUCCGGGGUUUACAAGCGCAGCACGGCGCAGCGUAUUACUGCGCAGCCAGAGAAGCACGCUGA
Non-coding RNA from Doryrhamphus excisus (bluestripe pipefish), 543 nucleotides. The record is from the annotation of a RefSeq genome assembly. NCBI's taxonomy places the organism in Eukaryota, Metazoa, Chordata, Actinopteri, Syngnathiformes, Syngnathidae.